UACGGAGGAUGCAAGCGUUAUCCGGAAUGAUUGGGCGUAAAGCGUCCGCAGGUGGCUGUGUAAGUCUGCUGUUAAAGAGCAAAGCUUAACUUUGUAAAAGCAGUGGAAACUACAUAGCUAGAGUGCGUUCGGGGCAGAGGGAAUUCCUGGUGUAGCGGUGAAAUGCGUAGAGAUCAGGAAGAACACCGGUGGCGAAGGCGCUCUGCUAGGCCGCAACUGACACUGAGGGACGAAAGCUAGGGGAGCGAAUGGG
Molecule: ribosomal RNA, 253 nt
Filed under: uncultured bacterium
Lineage: Bacteria
Description: partial 16S ribosomal RNA
Rfam family: Bacterial small subunit ribosomal RNA
Source: RNAcentral